Molecule: long non-coding RNA, 5327 nt
Organism: Felis catus (domestic cat)
Lineage: Eukaryota; Metazoa; Chordata; Mammalia; Carnivora; Felidae
Exons: 3
Source: RefSeq, a predicted model, not a curated record
UCUACGGGCGACUACAGGACGGUGAACGAUGGGCAGAGCCACCCACAGACACCUCAUACCUUUUUCCCAAGUGUUUGUCUUCCCGGCAUCCCUUGCAGCUAGGCAGAUCCAGCUCUGGCCAAUGGGGUGUCAGGGAAAGUUUGACGGGCAGCAAGGGCGGUCACGUGAUCCAGCUCUGGCCAAUGAGGUGUCAGGGAAAGUUUGACGGGCAGCAAGGGCGGUCACGUGACCUAGCUCUGGCCAAUGAGGUGUAACGGGGACGUGUGCUGCGUGCUGUCUUUAAGAGGAGGAUGUGCAGCCUUCUGUCCUGAGAGUUCUGCCCGUGUGGCAGCGGCAGCCGCCUUGUCACCGUAAAGGGAAAGAAAGCCAAGUGGAUUGUAGAGCCCUUGAGCUGAUCAGAGACGGGAUGGGACUCAGCGAAGUCCUAGAGCCAGAAAACAAAGGUAGAGAAGCAGGUGAACACCAGGUGAGAUGCACUCACGUCCGUUGUCUGCAUUUGAUUGCACGACGUCAUGGAGAUGCUGAAAUUGGUCACACAGCCUCGAGUCUCAAGGCCCGGACAGAUGUGUUCUAUACACUUGUUUAAACACGGCGCUCAUUAGGAGGUAAUGCAUGUAUAGCAAGUUGAUUACACCACAAAGCAGGCCGCUUUAUCAUGGGGGCCUCUCAGGAGGCGGCGGGAGGGGCCGUCAGCUGCCGCUGUCACUCUCCCCCCCUCGGAUCUUGAGUGACGGCUGGGCCCGCCACCUCCUCGCAGGCCUGCUCGGAAGUACACAGCUUCCCGUCAGAGAGCCGCCGAGCUGCCUGGGAGGAGGUAUUAAUUGUUGUCAGCCUCCAUUUCACACCCCAGAUAACAAACGAGAGCCACCCUGGCAGUGUUUAAGGAAGAUAAACAAGUUGCCUGAGCCCCGGCAAUUAAACACGCUUGCAUAUUUAACCGAGGUGCUUCCUGUAAGAAAAGGCAGCGUGGCCCAAGUCGGGGGUGGGGGGGUGGGGGGCGCAGAGUGGUCCCCUGUCCUAUGACCUGGGAGCUGCCCGCCCUGCGGGGCUCAGAAGUGCCCCCCCCUCGUCUGCCGGCCCUCUUGGUUUCUGCAUCUCGAGCCAGACGACCAUCCAGAGUUGGGUGUGAUGUGGAAGGACUAGCGUCUCUUUUAUUUCCCAUCUCCUGGGAGAAAGGGGUUCAAGGGACAGAUUCUGAGGCCAGACGAUGAGGGCAUAGAUUCCGGACCUGCUUUCGUAAGCGGCGUGGCUUCUUCGAGCCUCAGUUUUCCCAUCCGUAAAAUGGGCCUGCUCACACUCUACAGGUCAGGUUUCGCGAGGAGGGACUGGGGCCGAAGCGUGUGGCCCCGUGCCUGGUCCGUGGUCAACGGUGAGGACGUGGGUGCUCAGCAGUCGAGGUAGUGCACUUUACUCUCAGCUUAGCAGGAGAUGGUUAGAAGCAAGAAUUCUAGGUUGUCCCCAAGCUGAUAAGGUGACGCCGUGUCUGGUUGUGAUGCUCCUUUCCUUCCCAGCCCAGAGUGGGUGAGAUGGGUUGAACUCCAUCAGGCCAGAAGCUCCCGGUGGCUGUUUUGCCUCAGGGCACAUUUAGCAGGCCCCGGAAGGAGAUAGAUCGCUACCUUCCAGAUGUUUCCAGAUACUUCUGCCCCAACCUCUAUGAGGAUCGAAUCUGCCAAACAACCCAGUUUGCUUCUCUAUUCCUUCUCCCCUUCCUCUUCCUCUUCACCUUCCUUCUCUUCUCCGGCCCCCCACCCCCAACCUUCUUCUUUAACUUGACUCUAUAGUGACGUUGUGCAUCCUCCAGCCUCUAUUACCUUGUCCCUUCAUUCCCUGCCCAGGGGUGCCCUUCUCUGCACCCUGAUGUUUAAACUACAAGACGAACCGGAGGCGGCUGGGAUGGAAGUUCUCUGUGUCUCUGUGUCGCUGUCCUUUUGUCCUGGUUGUGCAAGUCCCAGCCGUCUCCUCCCUCUUGUCAUGGCGCCUUUGCAUAUGCUGUUCCCUCAGCCUGAACGGCUCCUACUCAGACCCUCAUCCCUCCAGACAUCCCAGCUACCACUGGCCCUUUUCCAACCCGCCAGACUGGGCACGUGCCUCUAUUUUGGGUUGGUGCUUUUCCUUCGUAGCAUCUCUCAGAAUAUUCAUUAUUUGAGAAACUAUCUGCUUCCUGUCCCUCUUCCAAUGAAGCCGGGGUCUGUGUCUGUGUCAGCCACCCUUAACCCCAACACCUAGGGUGCUGCUUGUAGGUGCUCGAAAGGGGUGUGGCCCACUACAGUGACCCACUGGGAUGAACCAGACCAUUUUUCCAGGGGAUCUGGAGAGAGAGAAAGUCCUUAUGAUUUCUCACGGCCUCUUUUGUCUUUUCUUUCUGUGACUCCGCGAGGCUCCUCCUGCUCCUUUGUGUCCAUUUCGUUGUCGCAGAAAGAGGGAUGGAGGGGUAAAGUGGACCUCCCUCAGCUAGAUGCUUCUGGGGCCCCUUCCGGGGACCGGUGAGUCACAGCUUUUCGCCUCUGUCUUGCUGACACCAACUGCUGGAGAACCCACAACGAUUUGUCCUUGGACAAUGCAAAAAGGAUGUGGCUCUGCCUUGUGGGUGCCUUUGAGGGAGGCGGGACCUCCAUUUAUUUGUCUCCACAGCUGCUUCCUCUGGGCUUUGUGGUUGCCUGUGUGUCGCCUUCUCAUCCGAUCGCGUUACCCUUAAUAAGCAUCGCCCUGGCAGGAGAGGGGUGCCGAAUUCGGUAUCCUGAGAGCAUGUGUGUGUAAUGUGCCGGGCAAGUGACCCUAAUGAUGCGUUCAGCAACACCGCUCCCCCCCCCCCACCCCAGACCCGGCUUCCAGUUUGCCCAAAUCCAUUUAUAUUCCCGCUCAGACCUUUGGGAUCAAAAUUCCUGACCCUUGUGCGAAAAGCAAAAACACCUUUCAAAAAAAAAAAAAAAAAAAAAAGGAAAGAAAGAAAGAAGAGGGAGGUGAAAUUUCCUGAGCUUUCAUUUCCCUUCAUGGUUGAACUUGGAUGACUCAAGUCAUGUGCAGUCAAUCUAUUUAGCUGACUUGUCCUGCCGUCUGCCAGGAGGUCAACAUUUCUGGAUCUGCCCCUCCGGGGGCAGCAUGUGGUCCCAGCUGGUUGUGCCGUGGUGGGAACGAGGCUUGGAGGGGCCGUGUCGUCUGGAAGCUGUGUUGGGGGCUCUUCUGUGCUCCGCGAAGAUGAGACUUCGCGGGCAAGUGCUUUUGUUUGCUGUUUGUUUGGGCUGGGUGGGAUUAGCUCCGAUUACAUAUUAAUAACCCGGAGCGCUAUCUAGUAAUUAGAUGUUAUCUUCCAGAUGUUUAAAAGAAACCUUUAAUAUUUUAAGCUGCUUGGAGAUCUCUAGGCACGUUAUUAAAAUGGAUGGAAUUUAAAAUGGGCGUCGGUGGUGUUCCCUUUCUGUGGAUUCUCCUGCCAGUGUAAGACCUGGGAGCCCCGGGUACCCAUGAAAGGACCCCAAGCAUUUAUUGUGGUGGCCCCUGUUUGGGAACAAUUGGGGCAGCCACCCAAUCAAUGGGUGGUAGAGGGAAUGUCGCGGCACUUCUGGCCCCUGUCAAUCGGCCAGAGCGCCUCAUUGAUUUCUUUGAACCACUUGAGUGAAUCUCUCAGAAGUUCCCCUUCUCUGAGUCCCACACAAUUGCCUGUUCUCUCUUUAUUAGGCGCUUUGAGGGACAGCCUGGUCUACACCUGCCUUUGAUGGGGCCCCCACCACAGUUUUAAUGACCUCCAUCCGUCAAAGGAAAAGUUCAGAGUUCACUCUUUUGUCCAAGUCCCAGCAACUGAGGAGUCCAGGGUGCUGGCUGGUCCGGCCUCCUUAAAUCACCCGCCCGAAAACUUUCCCUGUGACCCCGCUCAUGUCAAAACAGCGAGCUGGCCACUCUGGCCAUUGUCAUCGGAAUAAGGGCUAAGUGAUGCUGCUUGGUCAUUACGUGUGCCCUGAUUGGCAAUCAGGGUACAAUAGGGGGUCAUUAAAGGCCAUAAAACUGCCAAAGCUCUGAAAGGGGGAUUUUGAAUGGAGCCAGAGGGCUCUGGGAGCCUGCCUGAGCAGCGCCUCCAAGGAGAAGGGGUUUGAGCCGACCUGGGAGGGGAAAAGUCAGCGCGGUGUGGAUUAAGAAGUUUCUCCCCUGUGACACCAGAAAACACUGAUCUCCUGACGUCACCUUCCCAGAAUGCCUGUCCCUGCGUUCCCAAAGGAGAUUCGCUCGGAGCAACAACCCGGAUCACGCUCCAUGAAAAGAAUCCCGGAGGCACAAGUCUUUAUAUAAGGAGCUAAAAGUGACUCAUAAAUAUAUAAAUGCUUAUUGAAUGAAAGCACCAGCGGGUGAAGAGGGUCGCCUACAUGGUGACGGAUGGUGGCUGGGCACGUGGUGGUGAUCGCUGUGCAACGUAGGCCACACGUCAAGUUAUACAGCUGGACAGCUGAAACUUACACGAUAAGAAAACAGUCAACACACACAUGCGUAAAUGCGAAGGCUCCGGGGAGUGAACGGGCGGCUGUUAACUUGCACCAGGGCCUGUACUGGGCGCUCCACAGGUGUUAACUUGGUUAAGCCCCACACCCACCCAGGGGGGCAGGUUAACACGAUUAUAGCUGUAAAAGGCUUCCAUGGAAAGGAACCGUAAACUGACAAGGGGAGUCCUUCCUCUUAGGAUGGUGGCAGGCUUAAGGGUUACAUUUGCUGAGUCCCUCACUAUGUGCCAGGCACGGGUGGCUUCUCACCGAAUUGUUAAGUCAAAACCACGGAGUUCGCACUAUCGCCUUUCCUGUUUCGUAAGAAUUAACAACUCAGGAACGGGAGCGCAAAGAAGGGUGCCGUGGAGGGGGUCGCCCAUUCCGUCGGGAUGGCCGCCCCGCCGAUGCGCCUGUCCACAGCCACAGGGGGACGCUUCCCCAGCACUGCCGGCCCCUCUGGGCUCAAUGGCUGGGUCAGACGUGGUGCAGGAAUCUUGGGGUAGGCCUCCGCGGAUGCGGGGCCGACACUCUGCCCUGCUGUGCAGCCUUGGGCAAGUCACUCCACCUCUCUGAGCCUCAGUCUUCUCAGCUGAAACGUGGCUGAGUUGGAGUAGCUCCGAGCUUCUCAAACUAGGCCCUUCCCCACCCUGGGAGAAGGCCAGGAGCCACAUGGGGGCCGUCACUUGAGAUCAUCUGUUUUAUUCCAAGGCAAGUAAUUAAAAACAUUAUUUUUCUGUUUUCUCAGAAACAGAUAUAUUCUGCAGUAGAAUGCAACCCCCCGUGAAAAAAUUUUUUUAAUGUGUAUUUUUGACAGAGAGACAGGGUGCGGGUGGAGGAGGGGCAGAGAGAGAGGGAGGCACA